GAGGUUUGAUCCUGGCUCAGGACGAACGCUGGCGGCGCGCCUAACACAUGCAAGUCGAACGGAGCUGAGAGGAGCUUGCUUUUCUUAGCUUAGUGGCGAACGGGUGAGUAACGCGUGAGUAACCUGCCCUGGAGUGGGGGACAACAGUUGGAAACGACUGCUAAUACCGCAUAAGCCCACGAUCCGGCAUCGGAUUGAGGGAAAAGGAUUUAUUCGCUUCAGGAUGGACUCGCGUCCAAUUAGCUAGUUGGUGAGGUAACGGCCCACCAAGGCGACGAUUGGUAGCCGGACUGAGAGGUUGAACGGCCACAUUGGGACUGAGACACGGCCCAGACUCCUACGGGAGGCAGCAGUGGGGGAUAUUGCACAAUGGGGGAAACCCUGAUGCAGCGACGCCGCGUGGAGGAAGAAGGUUUUCGGAUUGUAAACUCCUGUCGUUAGGGACGAUAAUGACGGUACCUAACAAGAAAGCACCGGCUAACUACGUGCCAGCAGCCGCGGUAAAACGUAGGGUGCAAGCGUUGUCCGGAAUUACUGGGUGUAAAGGGAGCGCAGGCGGACCGGCAAGUUGGAAGUGAAAACUAUGGGCUCAACCCAUAAAUUGCUUUCAAAACUGCUGGCCUUGAGUAGUGCAGAGGUAGGUGGAAUUCCCGGUGUAGCGGUGGAAUGCGUAGAUAUCGGGAGGAACACCAGUGGCGAAGGCGACCUACUGGGCACCAACUGACGCUGAGGCUCGAAAGCUGGGGGAGCGAACAGGAUUAGAUACCCUGGUAGUCCCAGCCGUAAACGAUGGGCGCUAGGUGUGGGGGAGCAGAUCCUCCGCGCCGCAGCCAACGCGUUAAGCGCCCCGCCUGGGGAGUACGGCCGCAAGGCUAAAACUCAAAGGAAUUGACGGAAGGGCGAA
RNAcentral lists this ribosomal RNA (904 nucleotides) under uncultured bacterium. Its description in RNAcentral is "bacterial SSU rRNA". It matches the Rfam family "Bacterial small subunit ribosomal RNA", at positions 9 to 925 of the family's 1533-position model. The record is from RNAcentral.